RNAcentral lists this ribosomal RNA (93 nucleotides) under Segatella copri. Its description in RNAcentral is "Prevotella copri partial 23S ribosomal RNA". It matches the Rfam family "Bacterial large subunit ribosomal RNA", at positions 1 to 91 of the family's 2925-position model. Lineage: Bacteria; Pseudomonadati; Bacteroidota; Bacteroidia; Bacteroidales; Prevotellaceae. The record is from RNAcentral.
UAAAGAAAGUAAGAAAGGGCGUAUGGCGGAUGCCUAGGCUCACGGAGGCGAUGAAGGACGUGAUAAGCUGCGAUAAGCUUCGGGUAGGUGCAA